ACGUUAAUCGGGGCAGGGUGAGUCGACCCCUAAGGCGAGGCCGAAAGGCGUAGUCGAUGGGAAACAGGUUAAUAUUCCUGUACUUGGUGUUACUGCGAAGGGGGGACGGAGAAGGCUAUGUUGGCCGGGCGACGGUUGUCCCGGUUUAAGCGUGUAGGCUGGUUUUCCAGGCAAAUCCGGAAAAUCAAGGCUGAGGCGUGAUGACGAGGCACUACGGUGCUGAAGCAACAAAUGCCCUGCUUCCAGGAAAAGCCUCUAAGCAUCAGGUAACAUCAAAUCGUACCCCAAACCGACACAGGUGGUCAGGUAGAGAAUACCAAGGCGCUUGAGAGAACUCGGGUGAAGGAACUAGGCAAAAUGGUGCCGUAACUUCGGGAGAAGGCACGCUGAUAUGUAGGUGAAGCGACUUGCUCGUGGAGCUGAAAUCAGUCGAAGAUACCAGCUGGCUGCAACUGUUUAUUAAAAACACAGCACUGUGCAAACACGAAAGUGGACGUAUACGGUGUGACGCCUGCCCGGUGCCGGAAGGUUAAUUGAUGGGGUCAGCGCAAGCGAAGCUCUUGAUCGAAGCCCCGGUAAACGGCGGCCGUAACUAUAACGGUCCUAAGGUAGCGAAAUUCCUUGUCGGGUAAGUUCCGACCUGCACGAAUGGCGUAAUGAUGGCCAGGCUGUCUCCACCCGAGACUCAGUGAAAUUGAACUCGCUGUGAAGAUGCAGUGUACCCGCGGCAAGACGGAAAGACCCCGUGAACCUUUACUAUAGCUUGACACUGAACAUUGAGCCUUGAUGUGUAGGAUAGGUGGGAGGCUUUGAAGUGUGGACGCCAGUCUGCAUGGAGCCGACCUUGAAAUACCACCCUUUAAUGUUUGAUGUUCUAACGUUGACCCGUAAUCCGGGUUGCGGACAGUGUCUGGUGGGUAGUUUGACUGGGGCGGUCUCCUCCUAAAGAGUAACGGAGGAGCACGAAGGUUGGCUAAUCCUGGUCGGACAUCAGGAGGUUAGUGCAAUGGCAUAAGCCAGCUUGACUGCGAGCGUGACGGCGCGAGCAGGUGCGAAAGCAGGUCAUAGUGAUCCGGUGGUUCUGAAUGGAAGGGCCAUCGCUCAACGGAUAAAAGGUACUCCGGGGAUAACAGGCUGAUACCGCCCAAGAGUUCAUAUCGACGGCGGUGUUUGGCACCUCGAUGUCGGCUCA
RNAcentral lists this ribosomal RNA (1192 nucleotides) under Escherichia coli. Its description in RNAcentral is "partial 23S ribosomal RNA". It matches the Rfam family "Bacterial large subunit ribosomal RNA", at positions 1362 to 2539 of the family's 2925-position model. The record is from RNAcentral. Lineage: Bacteria; Pseudomonadati; Pseudomonadota; Gammaproteobacteria; Enterobacterales; Enterobacteriaceae.